RNAcentral lists this long non-coding RNA (2158 nucleotides) under Homo sapiens (human). RNAcentral describes it as "HSALNT0109951". Lineage: Eukaryota; Metazoa; Chordata; Mammalia; Primates; Hominidae. The record is from RNAcentral.
GUUGAGCAAUUGGUGUGGUAACUGCUCAAUGCAGCCCUCCUGCUGAAAUGAGGAUCCUGCUGAAAGAACCGGCAAAAGUUCAAAGUUAGCAUAACUAAUAGUGGGACAACUUGAAAUUAUGCAGCUCAUAAAGCAAUGCAAUAUAAUGUAUACACAAUGAUGUUUAAUUUGAAUCUAAUUAAGCACUCAGACUUAACUUCUGGUUAACAAGAUAUAUAGGGGAUAAAGAAACAAAUUAAACAGCACGAUGAGAAAGUAAUCAGAUAAAACCCAAACAUAGUACAUUACACAAAACAAAAAGUUUUAGGCUGUCCAAAGGACAAUAUUAUGAGAAAAAUAAAAAGAUGGUUGUGCAGGAGAAAUUUAAAGACAUUUAAGGAACAAGACAAUCUAAUGCAGUGUGUGAACUUAUCCAAGUUUAGGGUGACAUAUGUAGGCUAAAUGGGUUUGGAUAAUAGAGGACAUUAAGGAGUCACUGUUAGUUUUUCUAAAUUUGAUAAUGGCAUUUUGGUUUUCUAGAAAAAUGUAUUUUUUGGAGAUGCAUGCUGGAGUAUUCGAAAGUGCCAUGGCUAGAAUGUAUGUGUCCCUCAAAAUUCAUAUUUUGAGACUCAAGUUACAGUAUUAAAAGAUGGGGCCUUUAGAAUGAUUAAAUCAGGAGGGUUUUACUCCUCAUGAAUGAAUUAGUACCCUUAUAAAAAAGGGCUUGAGGGAAGUAGCUAUGCCCUAUUUGUUCUUCUAGCUCUUCUGCUGGGCGAGAUGAAAGCGUUCAUCUUCUCCGGAGAACACACGAAGUCCUCACCUUGCAAGCAGAGACCAGGCCCUCCCCAGACACUGAGCUUGGUGGCACUUGGAUUUUGGACUUCCAGCCUCCAAAAUUGUGAGAAAAAGUGCUGAAUAUCACAGAACACAAAGAAAAGAGAAAGAGAAACUGACAGAGCCUAUAAAUGUUGCACGAAGGUUCAGAUACAUACAGUUCUGCUGGCUUUUUAAGGAGCAGUGUUUCCUAUAUCCUAAGGCAGAUGGACAUGUUGGGAUGGAGGGACAUGGAUGGAGCUGGAAGCCAUUAUCCUCGGAAAAUUAACACAGGAACAGAAAACCAAACACUGCAUGUUUGUGGGAGCUGAACAAUGAGAACACAUGGACCCAGGGAGGGGAACAACACACACUGGAGCCUGUUGGCGGUAGUGGGGGUAUGAGGGAAGGAAGAGCAUCAGAAAAAAAUAACUAAUGUAUACUGGGCUUAAUACCUAGGUGAUUGGUUGAUAGGUGCAGCAAACCACCAUGGCACACAUUUACCUAUGUAACAAGCCUGUUGCACAUGUAUCCCGGAAUGUAAAAUAAAAUAAAAUAAAAUAAAUAGUACCCCAAAUGCAGUGCAGGACUCUGGAUUCAAUUCUGGAACAGAGAAAGGACAUUUGUGGGAAAAAAAGGGGUGCAAUCUAGGGUCUUUAUAUAUAGAUAAUGGUACUGUAUCAAUGUGAAUUUCUUAGUUUUGACUAAUGCACUAUGGUUAUGUAAGAUAUUAGCAUUAUGGGAUGCUGGUCAAGGCCAGAUGGUGACUUUCUGCACUCUUUGUAAUGUUUUUGUAAAUCUAAAAUGAUUCCAGAAUAAAAGGUGUAUUUAAGAAAUGGGGGAAAAAGAUAAGCAGCUCUGGGCCUUGGAGAGAGAUACAAAAAUUAGUAGCAAUUGAAAAUAAUUGAAGCCUCACCAGUAAAUAAGACAAUACAGAAAGAGUGACAGAACCUUCAUGAAUUCAUGAGAAUAAAUGCUAAAUUGCCGUAACUUAAAGACCCUGUAAUACCUUGACUCAGAGGACAAAGAAGUUUCAUUUUUUCUUCCUUAACAGUCCCAAUGUGAAGAGACUCAGCUGGUAGGAUAGCUCAACUCUACUUAGGCUUUUAGGGACAGUUAUGUUUGGGUGAUCUGCAAUCCCAUAGGUGUCAUCGCUAGCCUGGUUAAAACUAGAGUACUGCCUUCUUUGUAUUCUUGUCAUUUGUGCCAAUCAAUUGUAACUGGAGAGAGAGAAUAAAAAAGAGUGUAUCUACAGGUGCAUAUUAGUUCACAGGUUUGGUGGUAGAAGUUAAGGAAACUUCCCUCUGUGAAGGAACAAAAUCAAAGUCAUCUGUUUGCGAUCAAGAGGGGCAUGGCAGGGUUAUAC